Molecule: ribosomal RNA, 305 nt
Filed under: uncultured bacterium
Lineage: Bacteria
Description: bacterial SSU rRNA
Rfam family: Bacterial small subunit ribosomal RNA
Source: RNAcentral
ACCUACGGGACGCAGCAGUGAGGAAUAUUGGUCAAUGGGCGGGAGCCUGAACCAGCCAAGCCGCGUGAGGGAAGAAGGUACAGCGUGUCGUAAACCUCUUUUGUCAGGGAACAAAGGCGGGGACUAGUCCCCGGAUGAGGGUACCCGAAGAAAAAGCAUCGGCUAACUCCGUGCCAGCAGCCGCGGUAAUACGGAGGAUGCGAGCGUUAUCCGGAUUUAUUGGGUUUAAAGGGUGCGUAGGCGGAACAUUAAGUCAGCGGUAAAAUCGAGGGGCUCAACCCCUUUAAGCCGUUGAAACUGGUGAU